CCCUGAUGGCGGCCCUGAUGCUCGGUUAUAGCUAAUUUUUAGCACUCUAGAUGUUUUUUUUUUUUAAAUAUACCAGCCACAGCUAACCAUCCCAACUCUAGCCGUAUGUGUGUGCAAGGGGUUUGCUUAAUGCAGGCCAAAUUAUUCUCCCUUUACUCUGUUUAGGUCUCUAUGAGAACUUUUGUGCUGGUUUGCUUUUAAAGGGUAAAAUGAUGGCUGUCACCUGUUUAUAAACUGAUCAAAGAAAUUGCAUUUUGUAUCUUGUUUCUUAAAUUUCUCUUUUGAAACAAAGUUUAAAUGGUAGUUUUCUCUGAGUGCACACUAUUAUUCUCCACACACUUAUGAGUCUAG
Molecule: non-coding RNA, 351 nt
Organism: Pelobates cultripes (western spadefoot toad)
Lineage: Eukaryota; Metazoa; Chordata; Amphibia; Anura; Pelobatidae
Source: the annotation of a GenBank genome assembly